ACGGAAGGCAGCAGUGGGGAAUAUUGCACAAUGGGGGAAACCCUGAUGCAGCGACGCCGCGUGAAGGAAGAAGUAUCUCGGUAUGUAAACUUCUAUCAGCAGGGGAGAAAAUGACGGUACCUGACUAAGAAGCCCCGGCUAACUACGUGCCAGCAGCCGCGGUAAUACGUAGGGGGCAAGCGUUAUCCGGAUUUACUGGGUGUAAAGGGAGCGUAGACGGAAUUGCAAGUCUGAUGUGAAAGGCAUGGGCUCGACCUGUGGACUGCAUUGGAAACUGUGAUUCUUGAGUGCCGGAGGGGUAAGCGGAAUUCCUGGUGUAGCGGUGAAAUGCGUAGAUAUCAGGAGGAACACCGGUGGCGAAGGCGGCUUACUGGACGGCAACUGACGUUGAGGCUCGAAGGCGUGGGGAGCAAACAGGAUUAGAUACCCUGGUA
This 434-nucleotide ribosomal RNA is filed under the name uncultured Blautia sp. Its description in RNAcentral is "partial 16S ribosomal RNA". It matches the Rfam family "Bacterial small subunit ribosomal RNA", at positions 341 to 792 of the family's 1533-position model. Lineage: Bacteria; Bacillati; Bacillota; Clostridia; Lachnospirales; Lachnospiraceae. The record is from RNAcentral.